AGAUAAGUUGGCCGCGAUGAUUACAGGGAGGGUAUCUUCUGGUCCUAGAAAGGCAUACUUAAGAGUUGUCGGAAGUGGCUUUAACUCAAGUUUAGGUGGAGAAUCAAUGGAAGGACAAAGUGGUGCGCUAGCAAUAGGGGAAAGAGGUUCAUGUCGGAUCUUCCAAGGAAGGAAACUCAUGGAAGAUUGAUUGUCGAGUAAGAUGUUGACUUCUUCUAUGGCCUUGUCUAUGUCAAAGUUGUCAAUGUCAAAAUGGGCCAAGCAUGCCUCUA
RNAcentral lists this long non-coding RNA (272 nucleotides) under Phoenix dactylifera (date palm). RNAcentral describes it as "long non-coding RNA (PDAC_LNC008930)". The record is from RNAcentral. Lineage: Eukaryota; Viridiplantae; Streptophyta; Magnoliopsida; Arecales; Arecaceae.